UCAGGGGGGUCGACAGCUGCAGAGGAAGCGUGGAUGGGGGAGAACACAGCAAAUGUGUUGGAGGAGGGGUGGCCUUCAGAAAACCCUGUCUUCCACUGAAUACUGGAGGUCAUUACUCCUAUGGAACAUAAGAGCUCCUGUUUCCUAUACAUCACCAGUCAUCUCAUCUGUUGAGAAGGACGAACACCAUUUUUCUCAUAAAACACAGAGCUCUGUCUCUCUCCAUUUCUCUCUCUCCCUCUCUCUCUCGCUCUGUCUUUCCUUUAAAUUAUAACUAGUUUGUGCAGCUGACUGCAGAAUUGAUGCAGCUGAGAGAAAGGAGGCGAAGACGAGAAAUAAAAAGAGAGCAAUGGAAAAGAAAGAGUCACUCGUGGAUGAGAAAAGAACAACAAGGGAGAACGAUAGUGAGACAGGGUAGAGGGAAGGCAGUGGAUGGGAAACAAAACAGAAUUAAAAAGAGUGAUAGGUAGGCAAAGGAAGAGAAGAAGUUAGAACAGAAGAAGAGAGAGAGAAAUCGGCAGAAGAUUAACCAAUAAGAGAGCCACCUUCGAGUGAGAGAGAACUGAUCAAAACCGUGGAAGCCUGGCUCUUGGAAACAAAGGACCACAAACGUAAAACACGGAUGAAUGUAUGGAACGAAAAGGGGUGUAUGGCAAAAGCGAGAGCCAGGGAAUGAACGAGGAAGAGGGGAACAAAUGAAAAAGAGUAGGAAUCAGCAGAAGAGGCUUUUGCGGUCCCAAAGCAGAGGGGGAGGAGGAGGGCAAGAGAGAGGCAGGUUGGGGAUGGGAAGGCAAGAUCAAUAACUAAUUUCAGUGCCGAGCCUCAGUCGGACUGUUUUCCAAUAAGCCCUGGACAUAACGAGUUAGCUUGAAUAGCUGUGCUGCAGCUAUUGCUGCUCUCUCUCUCUCUCUUCAUCCAUCCCCCUCGCUCUACCCGCCUCAUGUCUCUCAGGGCCCUGGUGCUAGCGAUGGCUGGAUCGAUCCUCUGCACGCACACAAACACGCACAUACUCAGGCAUACAGGCCCGAGUUUUGCAACAGGAUGCCAAGACA
Long non-coding RNA from Labeo rohita (rohu), 1052 nucleotides. RefSeq lists it as uncharacterized. Lineage: Eukaryota; Metazoa; Chordata; Actinopteri; Cypriniformes; Cyprinidae. The record is from RefSeq and is a predicted model, not a curated record. The transcript has 3 exons.